This 419-nucleotide ribosomal RNA is filed under the name Tripterygion melanurum. RNAcentral's name for it is "16S ribosomal RNA". It matches the Rfam family "Bacterial large subunit ribosomal RNA", at positions 1929 to 2512 of the family's 2925-position model. Lineage: Eukaryota; Metazoa; Chordata; Actinopteri; Blenniiformes; Tripterygiidae. The record is from RNAcentral.
GGCCGCGGUAUUCUGACCGUGCAAAGGUAGCGCAAUCACUUGUCUUUUAAAUGAAGACCUGUAUGAAUGGCAUAACGAGGGCUUUACUGUCUCUUCUUUCUAGUCCAUGAAAUUGAUCUUCCCGUGCAGAACCGGGGAUGUUAUCAUAAGACGAGAAGACCCUGUGGAGCUUUAGACCCAGGCAGCCCCCGUUAAUAAGGCCUCAUCAACGGCCUAUAGCCCUGCCUUACUGUCUUUGGUUGGGGCGACCGCGGAGAACUAUCAAACCUCCAUGUGGACUGAACUAAUCUUUUAUAACUUAGAACGGCAGUUCCAAGUCACAGAACUUCUGACCAAAAAUGACCCGGUAAAACCGAUCAACGAACCGAGUUACCCCAGGGAUAACAGCGCAAUCCUCUUUUAGAGCCCCUAUCGACAAG